GAAUAGCCUAGCGGCCGAGAGGUUAGCGAAGCUUAUCAAACUCAGAAUGCCAGAAUAUUGAUGCCUGGGAGUCAGACAGUGUCAGAUAAAUGUCAUUGUCAAAAGGGAAACAGCCCAGAUCUACAGCUAAGGUCCCAAAGUCAGGUUAAGUGGAAAACGAUGUGAAGAUACGCAGACAACCAGGAUGUUGGCUCAGAAGCAGCCACUCAUUCAAAGAGUGCGUAAUAGCUCACUGGUCGAGCGUCUUUGCGCGGAGAAUUUAACGGGGCUAAACCUGACACCGAAGCUUAGGCAAUACAGCAAUGUAUUGGGUAGGGGAGCGUUGUAUACGCGGAGAAACAGUAGCGUAAGCGGCUGUGGAGUGUAUAGAAGUGAGAAUGCCGGUGUGAGUAGCGAGAUGUAGGUGAGAAUCCUACACACCGAAAGCCCAAGGAUUCCAGGGGAAGGUUCGUCCGCCCUGGGUAAGUCGGGACCUAACGCGAGGCCGAAAGGCGUAGUGGAUGGAAAGCAGGCGAAAGAUUCCUGCACCCGUAUAUGGAGCGAAGGAGUGACGGAGACGGAUAGUGUGACCCUCUUAAUGGAUUGAGGGCGAAGCGAAGCGGCUGGUUACCAGGCAAAUCCGGUAACCAUAAGGCUAGAGCGUGACAGGUAAGCGAAAUCUUCGGAAAGUAGCGAAGCACAUGAUGACGGCUUCCAGGAAAAGCUUCUGGCAAUGCAUAUGCGGCCCGUACCAAAACCGACACAGGUGGGCAGGGAGAGAAUCCCGAGGUGAGCGAGAGAACUGUUGCCAAGGAACUCGGCAAAAUGACUCCGUAAGUUAGCGAGAAGGAGUGCUUAAGCAAUUAAGCCGCAGUGAAGAGGCCCAAGCGACUGUUUAACUAAAACACAGCUCUCUGCGAAGUCGCAAGACGAAGUAUAGGGGGUGACACCUGCCCGGUGCUGGAAGGUUAAGAGGAUCUGUUAAGAGCGAUCUGAAGCAGUGAUCCGAAGCCCCAGUGAACGGCGGCCGUAACUAUAACGGUCCUAAGGUAGCGAAAUUCCUUGUCAGGUAAGUUCUGACCCGCAUGAAAGGCGUAAUGAUUUGGGCACUGUCUCAACAGCCCGCCCGGCGAAAUUGUAGUACCGGUGAAGAUGCCGGUUACCCGCGACAAGACGGAAAGACCCCAUGGAGCUUUACUGUAGCCUAAUAUUGGGUUUCGAUGUUGCAUGCACAGGAUAGAUGGGACACUGGGAAGUGAUCGCUUUGGCGGUCAUGGAGUGGCCGUUGGGAUACCAUCCUUGCGAUAUUGGAAUUCUAACCUGCGGCUCUGAAUCGAGUCGGGGGACAUUGUUAGGUGGGCAGUUUGACUGGGGCGGUCGCCUCCUAAAGAGUAACGGAGGCGUUCAAAGGUUCGCUCAGCUUGAACGGAAAUCAAGCAAAAGAGUGCAAACGCAGAAGCGAGCCUAACUGCGAGACUGACGGGUCGAGCAGUAACGAAAGUUGGAGUUAGUGAUCCGGUGGUAUGUGAGUGGAAAUGCCAUCGCUCAACGGAUAAAAGUUACCCUGGGGAUAACAGGCUGAUCUCCCCCAAGAGUCCACAUCGACGGGGAGGUUUGGCACCUCG
Molecule: ribosomal RNA, 1604 nt
Filed under: human gut metagenome
Description: bacterial LSU rRNA
Rfam family: Bacterial large subunit ribosomal RNA
Source: RNAcentral